Molecule: ribosomal RNA, 380 nt
Filed under: uncultured eukaryote
Lineage: Eukaryota
Description: partial 18S ribosomal RNA
Rfam family: Eukaryotic small subunit ribosomal RNA
Source: RNAcentral
CAAUAGCGUAUAUUAAAGUUGUUGCAGUUAGAGAGCUCGUAGUUGGAUUUGUGGCGUACGGUGUGUUCCGGGCACUUGUUGUCUGAGUAACCUGCUGUUGCCAUCCUUGGGUGGAACCUGUGUGGCAUUAGGUUGUCGUGCAGGGGAUGCCCAUCAUUUACUGUGAAAAAAUUAGAGUGUUCAAAGCAGGCUUAUGCCGUUGAAUAUAUUAGCAUGGAAUAAUGAGAUAGGACUUUUUUGCUAUUUUGUUGGUUUGCGCAAGAAGGUAAUGAUUAAUAGGGACAGUUGGGGGUAUUCGUAUUCCAUUGUCAGAGGUGAAAUUCUUGGAUUUUUGGAAGACGAACUACUGCGAAAGCAUUUACCAAGGAUGUUUUCAUUAA